CACGACGACCUUGCCUUCCAUCUCCACCUCCAGCGCAUCUCCACGCUGUCGUGCGCCGCCGGCCCCCACCAUGCGCCGUCGCAGCCGACCCCCAACACGCCGCCGCGCACCGCCAACGCCCCUCCGCCAUGCGCCUUUCCCACCCCUGCGACUUUCCACCACCAGCGACACUUGAUGCCGGCGCCACACCUUCACCCAAUCCCUCUCUCUCGCCAUGACCCGACGCCGUCGUCCUCCACCACCAGCCCAGCCCCCGCGUGUUCCUUUUCCAGUGACGCUACUCACCUUCCCUCCUCUCUUGGCCGGCGUCCAGUGCUCCGGCGACGGCAAAGACAGUUCCAAACCGUCUGCCUCGCCUCUCAAUCACAGGUGAGCCGACGGGAGCUGGUUCCUCUCCUCCCCGACGCUCUUCUUCACCUGGCCGGAGCACCUGCUCCUCCCAUCACGCACAGAUCAACGGAGCAGUUCGAUGAGAAGAGAUGGCUAUUGAUGAAGCCGAGCUUGAGCCUCUAGAAUUUGCCGAGAAAAUGCACACUCAACAGGAAUUACAACAACAGAAACUGGAGAUGUUAGUUCAGAUUAGAAAACACAAUUCUGAGAGCCAAUCUGUCAUACUUGAGACUUUGCAGAGGCAGUUGGAGAGUGCUGAUUUCGAUACCAGUGCAUCAAUAUUCACUCCGGAGCAGAUCCAAGGGAAUGUUGAGAAACACUCCAGUUCACAUAUUUCAAGAGUGGCACCUGUUGAAACCGUCUGCCUGGCUCCCGUGGCGAACAUCGCCGCCACCCCGCUAUCGAUUCCCACCCAAGCGGCUGGCCUCCUUGCGGUGGUAUUCUUCACCCUCUUUCAUCACCAUGAAGCAGAUCGUCGUUGUGCCGCCGUCCGGCACUGGCUAGCUUGCAGAAUUUAUAUAGGCCUUUCAAUGUCCUCAUUAUCAAGGAGCUGCCUCGGAAUCAAUAAGCAAAGGCUAGCUUGCAGAUGUGCAGAUGGGGGACAUGAAAGGAGCGAAGGAAAGGGAACGGAACGAGCGAAGAAAGGCCGGGCUGGCUCCAAUGGAGCUAGGACAGCGUGGAGUCAGCAGACGGGGGAGCGCAGGCGCUAGGUGGCGAUCACGGGGCUCCACGUCUACCGUCGGGGCGGCGUGCUCGAUCUGCAGAGGACACAACGACGACAGGGGUCUGACAUGAAUAAGGCCAGUCGGUUUUCCAAGAUUGAAAAUGGUGUAUCAUGGCGCAACAAUCAUGAUAUCGAUCAAAUGGACGGAUCACAUCACAAGAGAUACAAGACCUGUUCCUGACUUACGAAAGACAAAACUUGAUACUGGUACAUCACUAGGCAGUGUGUUAAACUUUGCUAUUUCAUAUACAUGGAAAAUUUCAUUCAGAUCUGAGUUGCAGUCAUGCCAUGUA
This is a non-coding RNA of Aegilops tauschii subsp. strangulata, 1407 nucleotides long. The record is from RefSeq and is a predicted model, not a curated record. Lineage: Eukaryota; Viridiplantae; Streptophyta; Magnoliopsida; Poales; Poaceae.